GACCCGAACCUAGGUGAUCUUGGGUGAAACUAAGUGUAGGUCCGAACCGACUGAUGUUGAAGAAUCAGCGGAUGAGUUGUGGUUAGGGGUGAAAUGCCACUCGAACCCAGAGCUACCUGG
RNAcentral lists this non-coding RNA (120 nucleotides) under Gossypium hirsutum (cotton). Its description in RNAcentral is "Bacterial large subunit ribosomal RNA". It matches the Rfam family "Bacterial large subunit ribosomal RNA", at positions 732 to 852 of the family's 2925-position model. The record is from Rfam by way of RNAcentral. Lineage: Eukaryota; Viridiplantae; Streptophyta; Magnoliopsida; Malvales; Malvaceae.